GACGAACGCUGGCGGCGUGCUUAACACAUGCAAGUCGAACGGUGACCCAGGGCUUGCCCUGGUGAUCAGUGGCGAACGGUGAGUAACACGUGGGCAACCUGCCCCUGACUUCGGGAUAACUCCUCGAAAGAGGAGCUAAUACCGGAUACGACCACUUCGGACAUCCGAUGGUGGUGGAAAGUUUUUCGGUCAGGGAUGGGCCCGCGGCCUAUCAGCUAGUUGGUGGGGUAAUGGCCUACCAAGGCGACGACGGGUAGCCGGCCUGAGAGGGCGACCGGCCACACUGGGACUGAGACACGGCCCAGACUCCUACGGGAGGCAGCAGUGGGGAAUAUUGCGCAAUGGGCGAAAGCCUGACGCAGCGACGCCGCGUGAGGGAUG
RNAcentral lists this ribosomal RNA (381 nucleotides) under uncultured bacterium. RNAcentral describes it as "bacterial SSU rRNA". It matches the Rfam family "Bacterial small subunit ribosomal RNA", at positions 28 to 410 of the family's 1533-position model. The record is from RNAcentral.